Non-coding RNA from Trichonephila clavipes, 73 nucleotides. NCBI's taxonomy places the organism in Eukaryota, Metazoa, Arthropoda, Arachnida, Araneae, Nephilidae. The record is from the annotation of a GenBank genome assembly.
GUCCCUGUAGCGCAAUGAAUAGCGGGUAGGACUCCUGAUCCAAAGGCCGUGGGCUCGAAUCCCACCUGGGAUG